This is a non-coding RNA of Delphinapterus leucas (beluga whale), 288 nucleotides long. The record is from RefSeq and is a predicted model, not a curated record. Lineage: Eukaryota; Metazoa; Chordata; Mammalia; Artiodactyla; Monodontidae.
GCCCCGGCGGGUGAGCAGACAAGCCUCUCGGCCUGAGCCUCGUCUGCAGCACCUGAACCUGAUUUGGAUGAUGGGAUACUGGACCUUGAGUGUGAGAUGGAUGCUAUCCAGAUGAGAUAUUUGGGAGUUCAAGGAGCGGAUGCCUGGGACCCUGGAAUCCUCUCUGCAAUUGGAGCCUUCCCCAAAAACCCCCUCCAUAAGUGUAUGCAGCUGAUACCCGCGGGCUGGCCAAGGAGGGGCUGUUUGCCACAGGUACGGACAGAGUGUGGAUGCGGGGGGCAGGGUGGG